Molecule: ribosomal RNA, 653 nt
Filed under: Aegiceras corniculatum
Lineage: Eukaryota; Viridiplantae; Streptophyta; Magnoliopsida; Ericales; Primulaceae
Description: eukaryotic LSU rRNA
Rfam family: 5.8S ribosomal RNA (bases 257-406)
Source: RNAcentral
GCUGGUCGACUGCAAGCAGACGACCCGUGCACUCGUAUCUACAUCGGGGAGGGCAUCGAACGGGUCCUGGGCCCUCCGGUGCCAUCCCAUACCGGGGGUGGGCUCAUUGUCCAUCUCGACUAAGAGUCCGCCUUCCCCGGUUGUACAACGAACCCCGGCGCAAACCGUGCCAAGGAAAUUCAACAGAGAGAUCACGCCGCCCGCUCCCGUACGCGGGCUGUGCGCGGUGAUGUAUUCUUGCAUAUAAUAACAAAACGACUCUCGGCAACGGAUAUCUAGGCUCUCGCAUCGAUAAAAAACGCAGCCGAUACUUGGUGUGAAUUGCAGAAUCCCGUGAACCAUCGAGUUUUUGAACGCAAGUUGCGCCCGAAGCCAUUAGGCCGAGGGCACGUCUGCCUGGGCAUCUCACAAUGCGUCGCUCCCCCCACUCACCUUGUGGUGUCGUGUGAGGUGCGGAUAUUGGCUCCCCGUGCCCUACAGUGUGCGGUUAGCCUAAAAGCGAAUCCCGACAAUCGACGUCGCGGCGAGUGGUGGUUGACAAAACCGUUGCAUGAUGCCGUGUGCGCUCCGAUCGCCCUCGGUGAUUCCUUGACCCCAAAGGUCCAUAGGAAUGGUGCCUCGUUCGAGACCCCAGGUCAGGCAGGAUCCCGGUG